Prunus avium (sweet cherry) is the source of this 1756-nucleotide non-coding RNA. The record is from RefSeq and is a predicted model, not a curated record. Lineage: Eukaryota; Viridiplantae; Streptophyta; Magnoliopsida; Rosales; Rosaceae.
AUGAAGUACGUUGUGGUAACAGGUGGUGUGGUCAGUGGGCUGGGCAAAGGCGUCACUGCCAGCAGUAUCGGCGUCGUCCUCAAAGCCUGUGGCCUUCGCGUCACCUCCAUCAAAAUCGAUCCAUACUUGAACAUAGAUGCUGGCACCAUGUCUCCCUUUGAACAUGGGGAGGUUUUUGUUCUCGAUGAUGGUGGAGAGGUUGAUUUAGACCUCGGCAACUAUGAACGAUUCCUAGAUGUCGCUCUUACUAGGGACAACAACAUUACCACAGGGAAGAUAUAUCAGUCUGUCCUGGAUAAGGAGCGGAGAGGCGAUUACCUUGGAGAGACUGUUCAGGUUGUUCCACACAUCACUGAUGCCAUUAAGACCUGGGUCGAAUCAAUUUCUCUCAUUCCUGUCGAUGGAAAAGAGGGCCCUGCAGAUGUUUGUGUUAUAGAGUUGGGUGGGACUGUGGGUGACAUGGAAUCCAGGCCAUUCAUUGAGGCUCUGCGCCAAUUGUCUUUUUCAGUUGGGCAAGAAAACUUCUGUCUUAUUCAUGUGAGCCUGAUCCCGGUACUGGGUGUUGUUGGAGAGCAAAAAACAAAGCCUACCCAACAUAGUGUGCGGGAUCUAAGAAAAUAUGGCUUGACUCCUCAUCUAUUAGCAUGUCGCUCUGCGCAGCCAUUAUUGGAAAAUACGAAGGAGAAACUUUCACAACUUUGUCAUGUUGCACCUAGUAAUAUUCUCAAUAUCCAUGAUGUACCAAACAUUUGGCACAUUCCUCUCUUACUUAGGAACCAAAAUGCUCAUCAUUCAAUUCUUCAACAACUAAAUUUACUAAGUUAAGUUUCACUCAUUGCUAUGCCUCCUGAUUUAAGAGAUUGGACCAAGAUGGCAGAGACUUACGAUAAUCUCACAAAUUCUGUGAGGAUUGCCAUGGUGGGGAAGUAUGUUGGCUUUACAGAUUCAUAUCUAUCUGUAGUGAAGGCCCUUUUGCAUGCUUGCGUCGCAUGUUCUUUAAAGCCAUCAAUUGACUGGAUUUCCGCUUCUGACCUUGAAGAUGACAGUGCCAAACUGACACCAGAAGCACAUGCUGCUGCAUGGGAGACUCUAAAGAAUGCUGCAUGCGUCUUGGUUCCUGGCGGAUUUGGAGAUCGUGGUGUGAAAGGUAUGAUAUUAGCUGCAAAGUAUGCCAGAGAGAACAAUGUUCCUUAUCUUGGGAUUUGUUUGGGCAUGCAGAUUUCCGUGAUUGAGUUCGCAAGAUCCGUCUUGAGUUUAGAAAGGGCGGACAGCACAGAGUUCGAUGAACAUACACCUAAUCCUGUUGUAGUUUUUAUGCCUGAGGGUUCAAGAACACAUAUGGGAAGCACAAUGAGACUAGGAUCCAGAAGAACACUUUUCCAGACUCCUGAUUGCAUUACUUCAAAGCUGUACCAUAACUCGGAGCAUGUGGAUGAACGGCAUCGGCAUAGAUAUGAGGUGAACCCAGAUGUUAUUGGAAUUCUUGAAGAAGCGGGCCUAAAAUUUGUAGGGAAGGAUGACAGUGGAAGACGAAUGGAGAUUUUAGAGCUUCCAAGCCAUCCAUUCUAUGUAGGAGUGCAAUUUCAUCCAGAAUUUAAAUCACGGCCUGGGAAGCCCUCAGCUCUCUUUUUAGGUCUUAUCUUGGCAGCAACAGGGCAGUUGGAAACAUAUCUUGACCAGCAUCCAAAUACAAAUUGACAGCAUUGAGCCGCUGUCUCAAUAUUCCCAGAUAAUUUUUUCAAGGUAGAUUUGAAUG